UGGGGAAUUUUGGACAAUGGACGAAAGUCUNNUCCAGCCAUGCCGCGUGCGGGAAGAAGGCCUUCGGGUUGUAAACCGCUUUUGUCAGGGAAGAAAUCCUUUGAGCUAAUACCUCGGGGGGAUGACGGUACCUGAAGAAUAAGCACCGGCUAACUACGUGCCAGCAGCCGCGGUAAUACGUAGGGUGCAAGCGUUAAUCGGAAUUACUGGGCGUAAAGCGUGCGCAGGCGGUUAUGUAAGACAGAGGUGAAAUCCCCGGGCUCAACCUGGGAACUGCCUUUGUGACUGCAUAGCUUGAGUGCGGCAGAGGGGGAUGGAAUUCCGCGUGUAGCAGUGAAAUGCGUAGAUAUGCGGAGGAACACCGAUGGCGAAGGCAAUCCCCUGGGCCUGCACUGACGCUCAUGCACGAAAGCGUGGGGAGCAAACAGGAUUAGAUACCCUGGUAGUCCACGCCCUAAACGAUGUCAACUGGUUGUUGGGAAGGUUCCUUCUCAGUAACGUAGCUAACGCGUGAAGUUGACCGCCUGGGGAGUACGGCCGCAAGGUUG
RNAcentral lists this ribosomal RNA (548 nucleotides) under uncultured bacterium. RNAcentral describes it as "bacterial SSU rRNA". It matches the Rfam family "Bacterial small subunit ribosomal RNA", at positions 355 to 896 of the family's 1533-position model. The record is from RNAcentral.